RNAcentral lists this ribosomal RNA (492 nucleotides) under uncultured bacterium. RNAcentral describes it as "partial 16S ribosomal RNA". It matches the Rfam family "Bacterial small subunit ribosomal RNA", at positions 29 to 507 of the family's 1533-position model. The record is from RNAcentral.
AGUGAACGCUGGCGGUAGGCCUAACACAUGCAAGUCGAACGGCAGCACAGUAAGUGCUUGCUGUUCUGGGUGGCGAGAGGCGGGCGGGUGAGGAAUACAUCGGACUCUACUCUUUCGUGGGGGCUAACGUAGGUGAACUUACUCUAGUACCGCAUACGACCUACGGGUGAAAGCAGGGGAUCUUUGCGCCUUGGGCGGAUGACUGAGCCGAUGUCGGAUUAGCUGGUUGGCGGGGUAAAGGCCCACCAAGGCGACGAUCCGUAGCUGGUCUGAGAGGAUGAUCAGCCACACUGGAACUGAGACACGGUCCAGACUCCUACGGGAGGCAGCAGUGGGGAAUAUUGGACAAUGGGCGCAAGCCUGAUCCAGCCAUACCGCGUGGGUGAAGAAGGCCUUCGGGUUGUAAAGCCCUUUUGUUGGGAAAGAAAAGCAGCAGGUUAAUACCCCGCUGUUCUGACGGUACCCAAAGAAUAAGCACCGGCUAACUUCGUG